GCCGGUGCCUGGUUCAGGUCCCCCUGCGUGUCUACUAUCCUAUCUGACCGGGCAAAUGCGCACGCCCAAAACAGGGAUUCUUUAUUUAUUCAGAUAACCAUGGAUAAGUGUCGAGUUCUAGAGCGAUGCACGCCAUACCCCCCCGCUGUCUUUUUUAUGUAUUCCUGGCAUGUGAUCCAUAAUAACUCUUCGAAUCGUGACUUGUUCACGAUAAAUCAUUCUCUUUUCUGCCCUACCAUGCUUUCGAUGGUAGUGUAUUGGACUACCACGGCUCUCACUGGUAACGGAGAAUUGGGGUUCCAUUCCUGAGAAGGAGCCUGAGAAACGGCUACUACAUCUAAGGAAGGCAGCAGGCGCGUAAAUUACCCAAUCCUGACUCAGGGAGGUAGUGACAAUAUAUCACAACGUGAAGUCAAAUUCGCGAUUGUACUGAGGAUAUUCCUACCCGACCUUCAAGUACGAUUGGAUGAUGAGUCUUGUUGCCCGCACCCGCGCUCAUU
RNAcentral lists this ribosomal RNA (500 nucleotides) under uncultured eukaryote. Its description in RNAcentral is "SSU rRNA". It matches the Rfam family "Eukaryotic small subunit ribosomal RNA", at positions 174 to 584 of the family's 1831-position model. The record is from RNAcentral.